RNAcentral lists this non-coding RNA (674 nucleotides) under Pongo abelii (Sumatran orangutan). Lineage: Eukaryota; Metazoa; Chordata; Mammalia; Primates; Hominidae. The record is from RNAcentral.
GACAGGAUGGACCAGGAGUCAGGCAGCUACAAUCCCACAUCAGCUGGUUGGGAAUGGAAUGUUGCUUCCCUGUCCCCAGCUCCCACUAUUGUAAGAUGAGCUCCAAGAAGAUAAGGACAUGGUCAACUUUUUCUACUAUGUCGUCACACAAUGCCUGGCCCACAGUGGGGGUACAAGCACUACAGGUUGAGUACUACAAAGUUUAAACCCUGGCAAGGGGUCAGGCUGGCUACCCCACUCCAAAGGCAGAUGAGGAGUCAGGGGUGAAGCUGUGUGAUUUAGGCAAAGAGAAGUUCCUCUCUGGUCUGAGGUUUCCAACCUGUUCAAUUUUAACCUGCCACCUUUUAUGUCCAAAGGAGUCCUUUCUGACUCAUUAUCUCUGGGCAGGGUGGGACUACUACAGGGUGCCAUGGGGUACUGUGAGCUGGGCUGUACUUGCCCCUGGAAUGUUGUCACGUCUCCUCCCUCCCUCCCAGAUAAAACCCAAGCAUAAGCGAGAUCCUGGAGGUGAUGCGAGCCAUCUUAGACAUCCCAGAGAGCCCCAGCCUUUGCACUGAUGUUAUUAACAUUAUGAUUCACUUUCCUGUUGUAUUUUUUCAUCUCAGCUGCAGCUGCUUCCCACCGCUCCCCGCCCACUGCUAGAAGACUGUUUAAAGUAAAUCCUUCUAAAAUGC